This 867-nucleotide long non-coding RNA is filed under the name Mustela putorius furo (domestic ferret). RNAcentral describes it as "lncRNA (ENSMPUG00000030523.1)". Lineage: Eukaryota; Metazoa; Chordata; Mammalia; Carnivora; Mustelidae. The record is from RNAcentral.
GGAAGUGGGGAGUUGCUUUCAUGGGUUUUAGUCCUGCAUGAGAAUUGGCCCCACCUCUGACAGAUGUUGACAUGCAGUCCUUUGUGGGAGCUACCUCCAUACCCUUUACAAUCACUGGACUCACCACAAGCAUGUGGGCUUUCUAUCUGUGGUCCUCACUAAUGACUAGUCUUAAACAGGUUGUUAAAUGCCUAUGAGCUGACCUGGGUUAUUUGUCCACAGAGGCCACCUAAAAUGCUGGGCAAUAUUGUGACCUUGUAGAUGAGCAUCUCCAGGUAUGUAAUGGAUGUGGGACUUGCUCUGUGACUGACGGUCCCAUAGCUGAGUGAUAAAUGCCAGUCAGCGGCCCAGAGCUACAACAGUGGGAUAUGGGCCUGAGUUCCUAUUUUUGCUUUUCCACACAGAAGGCAAGAUCUUGGGCUAUUCAUUCCUGCACAUCUUCUUCUGAGAAAAGGGAGUUUUACGCAAUCUCCAGGAGGAGGUGCCAGCAGCAGUUCAGUCCAUCCUUACUCACCACCCAUAUAUACACUCCCACACUGUUCCACAUCCAACAAAACUCCCUGGAUAGUUGCUGAACAGAAUCAUCCUCCUAGCUCCCACAGAGUGCCUCCUAUGAGAGCUUCCUGGCUGGAUGCCACAGGAAGAAGCCCCAACCUUCUCCAAGGUAAGCUCUUUUUGUCUAAGAGAGACAUUUUGUUUUCCCUUUUUCUUUAAUUUAUUUUUCAUUUAUUUUCCGCAUAAGAGUAUUCACUAUUUUUGCACCACACCCAGUGCUCCAUGCAUUCCAUGCCCUCUAUAAUACCCACCACCUGGUACCCUAACCUCCCACCCCCCCGCCACUUCAAACCCCCCAGAUUGUUUUUCAGA